ACUACGGGUGGCAGCAGUGGGGGAUAUUGCACAAUGGGGGAAACCCUGAUGCAGCGACGCCGCGUGUGGGAAGACGGUCCUCUGGAUUGUAAACCACUGUCCCCAGGGACGAAGAUGACGGUACCUGGGGAGGAAGCUCCGGCUAACUACGUGCCAGCAGCCGCGGUAAUACGUAGGGAGCGAGCGUUGUCCGGAAUUACUGGGUGUAAAGGGAGCGUAGGCGGGACUGCAAGUUGGGUGUCAAAUCUACCGGCUCAACCGGUAGCCGCACUCAAAACUGCAGUUCUUGAGUGAAGUAGAGGCAGGCGGAAUUCCUAGUGUAGCGGUGAAAUGCGUAGAUAUUAGGAGGAACACCAGUGGCGAAGGCGGCCUGCUGGGCUUUUACUGACGCUGAGGCUCGAAAGUGUGGGGAGCAAACAGGAUUAGAUACCCCAGUAGUC
Molecule: ribosomal RNA, 440 nt
Filed under: uncultured bacterium
Lineage: Bacteria
Description: partial 16S ribosomal RNA
Rfam family: Bacterial small subunit ribosomal RNA
Source: RNAcentral